CCCUACGGGAGGCAGCAGUAGGGAAUCUUCCACAAUGGACGAAAGUCUGAUGGAGCAACGCCGCGUGAGUGAAGAAGGGUUUCGGCUCGUAAAGCUCUGUUGGUAGUGAAGAAAGAUAGAGGUAGUAACUGGCCUUUAUUUGACGGUAAUUACUUAGAAAGUCACGGCUAACUACGUGCCAGCAACCGCGGUAAUACGUAGGUGGCAAGCGUUGUCCUGAUUUAUUGGGCGUAAAGCGAGUGCAGGCGGUUCAAUAAGUCUGAUGUGGAAGCCUUCUGCUCCACCGGAGGAAUGCAUCAGAAAAU
RNAcentral lists this ribosomal RNA (305 nucleotides) under uncultured bacterium. Its description in RNAcentral is "bacterial SSU rRNA". It matches the Rfam family "Bacterial small subunit ribosomal RNA", at positions 337 to 634 of the family's 1533-position model. The record is from RNAcentral.